RNAcentral lists this ribosomal RNA (253 nucleotides) under uncultured prokaryote. RNAcentral's name for it is "partial 16S ribosomal RNA". It matches the Rfam family "Bacterial small subunit ribosomal RNA", at positions 524 to 776 of the family's 1533-position model. The record is from RNAcentral.
UACAGAGGUGGCAAGCGUUGUUCGGAAUUACUGGGCGUAAAGGGUGCGUAGGCGGUCGGGUAAGUCUGAUGUGAAAUCUCACAGCUUAACUGUGAAACUGCAUUGGAUACUAUUCGGCUUGAGAGUUGGAGGGGGGACUGGAAUUCUUGGUGUAGCAGUGAAAUGCGUAGAUAUCAAGUGGAACACCAGUGGCGAAGGCGAGUCUCUGGACGAUUCCUGACGCUGAGGCACGAAAGCCAGGGGAGCAAACGGG